GCUGGGCACAAUGGUGCAUGCCUGUAAUCCCAGUAUCUUAGGAGGCUGAGGCAGGAGGAUCUCAAGUUCAAAGUCAGCCUCAGCAACAGCGAAGUGCUAAGCAACUCAGUGAGACCCUGUUUCUA
This 125-nucleotide small RNA is filed under the name Marmota monax (woodchuck). Lineage: Eukaryota; Metazoa; Chordata; Mammalia; Rodentia; Sciuridae. The record is from RNAcentral.